This 639-nucleotide unclassified non-coding RNA is filed under the name Hevea brasiliensis (rubber tree). Lineage: Eukaryota; Viridiplantae; Streptophyta; Magnoliopsida; Malpighiales; Euphorbiaceae. The record is from RNAcentral.
UAUCAUUAACAAACCCACACAGAUUUAAGAUUUUGCAUAUGGUAGGUACAAAUUCACAUGCCCUUAUUUAUUAUACACCACAUAUCAGAGCGUAGCUGAAGAUCCAUCAGUUCUUUUGGGCUUGCGUAAGGUGAGCAGCAAUAUCCUUGCUGCAAUGAACAACAAACUCUAGCAGUGUAUUGGGAUCUGGAGUAUUCUCGUUGAUCUUCUCAUAUUCCAAGGUCCAGUGCACCAAGCUUCCCUUCUCCUUUGGUGUAGCUUGAACGAUGAGUUUGAAGCUCUUGUAAUCCUUCAGGAGAUCUCCUUCUACCACUUUGAAGGUGGUUGAAAAGUUCACAUCGUCUAUGGCUUCGAUUAUCUCCUUGGCAAUCUUGGGAGACCCAUCAUGAAAAUAAUUCCAGCAGACAACAGUGCCUUCUUUGCCCCAUUCACCUUCAUGCAGUUCGCAACCUUGAAUCUUUUCAGGGCUCAUAAUGGAUACAUGGUGUGGUCUGCAGCUGACGACAUCAUGAAACUGAUCUGCAGGAGCAUUCACCUCUACAUCUGCCUCCAAUUUCCCUAAGAGGGCCAUUAUUUUUCCAGAAAAAGAAAAAGUUUCUGGUGAUGCUUAGAUACUAAUCAAGACCAGAUUUCACCGAG